Long non-coding RNA from Mercenaria mercenaria, 13174 nucleotides. RefSeq lists it as uncharacterized. The record is from RefSeq and is a predicted model, not a curated record. The transcript is spliced from 8 exons. Lineage: Eukaryota; Metazoa; Mollusca; Bivalvia; Venerida; Veneridae.
GCGGAUAUUUUUGCACCAAUGCAUUAUUAAUCAAUUACUCCUUCAGUUCUUGAUAACUUGUUUAAAUAUGUUGGUAUAUGGGAUAAUAAUGCUAAAGUAAACGAAGCCGAAAGUAUAGAUGGGCAUGUCAGUAACAAUACAAUACAUUCUGUUUUACCUUUCAAAGCAUUGACCUUCGCCCGUUUCUCCUCCAGUUUCUGACUCAAUUCUUCCUUCUCUCGAAGUUUUAGUAACCUGGCUUCUUCGUGGCCUAAUUGCUCGAUUUCUGCCUUUAUCGCUUCCGUGUCAUCUUCACUUUCUGCCGAAAUUUCCUCUAUAUCAAACUGGAUGAAGACGUGCGUUUUUUGACCUUUGAAGAUACAUUUGGUGGUGCGAUGCCUACUGUACUAGACGGCUCUCCCUCAGAUUCUGCGUCUCCUUCGUGCAUCUUUUUGUAAUCUUUCUUGAUGCCGUGUCGUAAUUUCGGCAUGACAAUCUGUUGUCUUCCACGAUAAUUACAGAUCUGACUAUUGGCUCGGAAAAUUACUCCAACUGUUAAGUUUCCAAACGAAACAAAUGUCUCAGAUGGGUAAAACGUAUCUGUUCUCGUAUCCUCUAAAGAACACUUCCCUUUUGUUCACAUACGAAACACUCUUUAAUCAUAGUUUAUUGUUCCACAUUUUUGGAGCGAGUACUCUCAAAACACUUCAAAACAUAGUCUAAUGUUCAAAAUUUUUAAAAGUAAGCCCAAUGGGCCUACUUGAACGAAAAUACCUUCUGUUGUCUCUCUAACUGUGGCUGUAAUAACUAUUCAAAUCCAAAUAAUUUUUAUCUCUGAGUUUUUCAAACUACUACCAAUUUUAGUCUUUUAGACUUGUGACACGUAACUAGAAAUUUCAACAAGUGGCGCCAAAAUUGUGAGCGUCGUUAUAUAAACUAGUCAACCAAUAAUAAUAAUUUUAACAAAGAACCAAUCAGCGAGAGAGAUUCACGAGGUUGGCUAAAAAACUUAACGACUGGAAAGAGAAACGUGAUCGUCGUUAAUUAAUUAUUUUAAAAAGAUUUAAAAUAUACCAAUACAAUACAAUACAAAUUUUAUUUGAAGUCGGUGCAUAAAUCUAUAUUUAAACAGGAAAACAUUAGCUAUGUAUAGCUAUUUACCGACAUAUGUCAAAUGUGACUUCUGUCCACAUUGGGUACACCUACAGUACUCACUGUGGGGAAAUGAACACCGGAUAUAGCUCAGAAAGUGAUAAGUAAACAGGCAAAUGUGCAGUUGUUUUCCUUUACCAGAGGUAAGAUCUUGCUGUAAUAACGCUUAUCUACCGUGUCCACAAAUGAAACCAGUGUUUGAACUCAUAGCUGAAUGCUAAAUUUAGACUUUGGUGUAUUGUAUAAUGGUCACGAUUUAGCAGAGCAUGAAAACUUUUACUAAAAAUCUGAGAUGAUCACCUCAGAAUUCACAGAAUUUCUACAAAUAUUGUUAUUUGUAAGAAAUAUUUCGAAUAUAUUAAAAUUCUGAAUCGUACAAUUUUACGAGCAUAAGCUGAACUAUUUUUAUUGUAAGAAUUGGCAAUGUAACUUUUAAACUGUUAAAGAUAUGCCCUUAGAAAUGUUUACAGAACUGUAAUGGGGAUAGCCGUAUUAUGUACUGAGGAUAGUUUCCAAGUUGACAAAUGUGUACUGAGGAUAGCAUAUAAAAUGAGGGACAAAAACCCUGUUUUCUGAUUGCUAGUAACACUGUUCAUGUACAAUAUUUGUCUUUUUCAAACUUUUCAAUUACUAGGUCUUAUUACAAUGAGAAGACAAUUAAAACAUGGAUCUACUAGUAUGUAAUGAUCCAAUAUAUUGCUGACUGUAACUGCUUGAUCUGUGUUAUCCGUAACAUAAUUUUUCAAUGAAUUUCGGAUCAAGAUAUCAACCACACAUCUUGAGGGGCAUCUGUGGCCGAGUGGUUAAGGUCACCGACAUCAAAUCAUUUGUCCCUCGUCGAUAUGGGUUCAAGCCUCAUUUGGGGAAUUGAAUUCUUCAUGUGGGGAAGCCAUCCAGCUGGCUUAUGGAAGGACAGUUGUUCUACCCAGGUGCUCGUUCGUGAUGAAAUAAUGCACAGAGGGUCACCUGGUGUCUUCUUCCACCAUCAAAGCUGGAAAGUCGCGAUAUGACCUAUAAUUGUAUUUCAAAUUUAAUCUAAGUAACAAUGAAUUUGAUCCAUGCUCUUCAAAAUCAACGUCUAUAAGCAAGCUGCUUAAAUAUCAAGAAUGGUCGCAAUAUUUAGUUUCUCUCUGUAGUUAACAUGCAGAUACCAUUUUUCUGUUCUAAGUAACAAGAGACCAAAACGCAAAGCACGGUCGUAGAAAAGGCAUCAAGUGUAUCAAAUUAGAUCCUAGCUGAUGACCUCUAUGUGCAAAACGUGCCUACGUGAUUUACAAAGCUAUACCAUAUAUAGCAAACACCAUGUCAUUUCUAAGGCCAUAUAUUGAAUGUUCACUGUUAAACCUAUGUUAAACCUAACCCUAACCUUUAGUCAGUGUAUAGUACACUCAAUACGUGCGUACAUCCAAUAGGGGCGAUUUAAUGUUGACGCAAUGUUUUGAGUCCCUCGAUAAAUCAGAUUUAAACUUGAUACUAUAUUCAAAUAUUUGCGACUCAAACGUUGAGGCUUGUGCACACUACCGUUAACUAAUCUAUACUCGUGAACUCAAUAUUGUUUACCAAUUUUUAACUGAUUUGAAAUCAAAGCCUUGAAAUGUCUGUUGGUUGCGGGUUUUGGUAGAUUUAUUUUGUUUGAAUACCAGUCUAUGAAUAUACAUGAAUGAGAAACAAAUACAAAUUUAAUGUCCCUCAUAUCUAAGAUGAACUCUGCGAUGUAACCAUGGGCUGGAAUACCUUUUCAUUGAUAGAUCUUAUAUAACCUAAAUGGUCAAUGUGAGUGGAUACAGGUUGAAUAGGAACUGCUUGUUCAUUAAAUUGAUAAUUCAUCAGCGUUGUUCAUGAAUGGGACUAUUUUGUGUAGCACAUGAACAUCCUUUAGAUGUGAUUCGGAAUAAAAUAAAGAUGCUAUAUGAUUGUCAGAAAUACACUUGUAACUUUGGUGGCGGGAUAUACCCGCAACCAAAAAGGAUACUUAUUUUUGUGGACAAAAUCUAUUUGGGUUGAAAAUUGCACAUUGGAAACUAAGGGAAGUAACUGAAUCCCAUUUGUUAAUGCAAUAUUUACUCAAUUCGACCAACCAUUGCAAGUAUUGCUCUGGAAGGCCGAACAGUUAGACAAGUGGACGAAAAGAAAGACGAGCAUACCGAGAGUUCAGAGUGAAACUGUUUUAAGUACAUACAGAUUUGUUUUUUUUUUUUAAAAACACUUUUACCCUCAUCUCUCGAUAUGGACAAUGGUUAAAUCAUAUCCCCACGACUAACCGUAGAGCUGAAAAGCCGUAAUCAUUAUCGCAGUCUCAUUAUUCAAAAAGGAUCGUUACUAUCCUCAGUCCACUUAAUUGCUAUCCCCUGUGCAGUUAUUUUAUUUGCUCCGUCUAUCCUCGGUACACUUUCAGGUCAUCAGAAAGCACAAAUAUCUCCGCAACAACAUAACGUAUCGUAUUGAUAUCUAACAGAAUACGGGACAAUAUAAUUUCAAUAAAAUCGCUCGAUUCAGUUUUUACUCUUAUUUUCUAUUUGUUGUUUUAUGUUAGAAAUCCUACCGCCUUACUGAACAUUUGUUAGUGAUCAUGCAGCUUUCAUCGAAAAGUGCACUAUUAUACAAGAAAGGAGACUCAUUUCCAUUAUAGACGUACAUUGCAUAUGAUUAAGCUAUUCAAAACUCUUCAAUUUUGAUAAAUAUAUCAACAUAAAAUACAAAAAAUGAUGAAAAACUUUCCGUGAGUCAAAAUAAAACGUUCAUUUUCUUAUCACUUUUUGAGCUAUAUCUGGUGUCCGUUUCCCCACAGUGGUACUGUACUCCACUCCAGUGAAAGUGCUCAGGAGGGCUUCUAUUUUUAGAUGUGCCCACAGAUGUUCACUUCGAGAAUAGAAACAAAAACACUACUGUAUAGUGUGAAUGAAUGUGUAAAUGAACAGUUACUUCUAUGAUAUUUUCCAAAUUGACUGGUAUAAAUGGGUGUUAGUCAAAAUAAUUUGACGUUCAGACAUACAUGGGUGAGAUGGGGUGGGUAUGGGAGGUUGUGGGAAAAAUUUUGCAAAUUGCACCAUAAAUGACACGAUUUCCUUGCAUUUAAAUUCCAUAUAACAAGUUAUAUCAACACAUUAUUUGUGCCAAUUUUACCAAGAAGCUCUAUUUAAGCAAUGCUUGAAAUAAUUAUGAAAAUCACUAAAGUUUCAAAACGUUUCAUUGUCUUGCUAACAGUAGACAUUCAUAUUAUUUAUAAAACAGUGCAACUGUAUUAAUGUGUUUGAAGCUUAUAAUAACAUAUUUCAAUGAGCUUUUCUUGCCAGGCAUCAAUCAUCGUCAGAAAAAAACUGAAGCAACGAACCAUUUAUAAAAGGGGUACAAACAGGAAAGAGAGAUGUAAAAGACAAAUAUUGGUCGUUUAUUUUUCUAUAAAAUGUAAUUGCAUACAUAUUCUGCAUAUAUAUUCUACAGAUAAUAUUUUUACCUGACGUGCUUUUGAUAUGUUACCUGCUUCAUAGUUAUGUCAUACUAUUGUCAAACAAUAUCGGCCCUCAAGUAAGGCACAACUGCACCCUUUACAAAGUUUGAGUAUAGACAAUUAUAUCGAAAAGUUUACACUUUUGCUCGAGUACAAAUGACGAGCGGCCACCCCACACCAAACAGAUAAUCCCCAAUUAACUUAUUGAUUUUUGACACUUUGCGUGCUGCUCGCUGAUAAUACACGUGUCUCUGGUAACGCUCCAUCGCUUUCUUUUGUUUCGCCUCUCCAAUUUUGCAUAAGCGUAGAAAGUUGAUGACAAAAUCUGGACAUUUUCAAAAUAUUUGAAACACCGUCUUGCAGUUACUGGCCGAAUUAUUGGGGCGGCAACUGCUGCCCUAGUCGCAACACCUCUGGUAAAGUGUAGGCAGCAAUGAAAGUUUCAUUGGAAGUUGCUCCAACUAUAUUGGUCAUUCGAGUGUUUGAUGCGAGUGGGGAUAUUGCCCAUAUGAAAAAAAUAUCUCAGUAAUUCCUAGGAUCGCGUCAAAUUAGUUGGACUAAAAUGGGUGUAAAAGUGCCUUGUUUUAACUUUUCAUGUGUUUAUGCAGGCGUUAUUCUUUAACAGUUGAUGCGGUAUGGUAUGGGAUUUUAUACCGUGAAAAUAGAAUUAACUCCCCUUACGAAAGUGACCCUCACCUUGAUUUAAACAAAUGCUCGGAAUGUGAAAUUGCUGAUUUCUAUUGACAUUUGAAGCCAUUAUCCCUUGAGUUAGACAAGAUAGUAUAUAUUGAAGACAACAAAUAGAAAAGGGAAGACAUAGACAAGUAGAUAGAAGUCAAAGAAAAUGUACUAGAUCUAUGUGUGAUUUGAAUGAUGUAGAGAACAAAUUUCAGUUUGUUUUAAGAUAGUGAAAGAAAAUUUUAAGUCUGCAUUUUAAAAGCAUCUUAGUAAUAAACGUUUCAAUUUCAGUAAUUAAAAAUAAAAAAAUAAAAGUUUCAGGGUUCCUACGCUAAAAUGGGGUCAGAUUUUGAGGAUGGAAAAAUUCACCCCGUUUAAAAGCGUUAUAGGCAUUCACUGUAAAAAUUGGCCCGUUUUUAAGGACUCAAAAAUUUUACCUAUUUCACUACGUUUCCGGUGUGCAAAGAAUAUAAAACAGUUAUAAAAAAAUUUAGAACAGUGACGCAAAGUCUCUGAAAUACAGUGUCUUUUUUUAAUGUGUCAAGUGAUUUACUUUUGCUUAGUUCUAACGGCAGUUCAUUCCACAGUUUUGGACCAGUAGUGUAGAAAUUUCUAUCAUUGAAUGUUUUGCACUUGUUGAACAUGGAACAACAUAACGACAUUCAGAAUUUUCUGACGAUCUCAAACCUUAUCUACUAGGAUUAUACCGUGUAAGCAAUUCUGUUAAAUACAUUGGUGCUCUGCCAGUGUGACAGCUAUACAUGAAAGAAAGUAUCUUGAACUCAAUCAUUGCUUUCACCGGCAACCAAAAUACCGGUAGGUCAUACAACUCUUGUUUAGAACUGUCAAAUUUCCUCCUGUGUAGGACAAGUUUUGUGCACAUGUUUUGAAUACUUUGCAUCAUAAGCACCUCACCAUUAGCUACACCAUACAGUAUGACAUUGCAGUAAUCCAGAUGUGAAAUAACUAGAGACAAAACCAAAAUUUCAGUGGCCGCAUUUGUUAAAUAUUUACGGAUGUUCUUAAUUUUCAGGUAGUUCAACCUGGCUGUACGAAAUUUGCAAUUUACAUCAAGGUUUCAUCAAGAAAUGCCCCGAGAUAUCUAAUUUUGCUUUCAUAUUAAUUUUAAUAUCAUCACCCACAAUGGUAAUCGAAUUUGUAAAACAUUUGUUAUAAUUGAGGUCUGCUACCAAAUAUGAUAAAUUCAGGUUUUGAAGUGUUCAUUUUCAAUUUGUUUCUAUUCAUCCAGUCUUUGAUUAUAACUGCGCCCUGUUCAAGUUCUGAGCUAUUGCUUGUGAUUGAGACUUUUAUUUGCUAUAAUUAUGAUCAUCAGCAAAACCGUAGAUUGAUACGGAUUUUGGAAUAACAUGAAAAAGAGUUCCAGCAUAAGUGAGAUACAACCACGGACCAAGGCAACUGCCUUGGGGCACACUGCAUUCAAGAUGGCGGUCUAAUGAAUAUGCAUUAUUGAUAUUAAUCUUACAAGUUCGAGGCCUUUAAGUAGGAGUCUACCCAUUGAAGAGCUGUUUCACAGACACCAUACUGUGCUUUCAGGAAAUCUAUAAGAAUGUUGUGGUCGACAGUGUCAAAUGCCGCACUUAAGUCAAUCGCAAUAAGGGCUGUGACUUCCUGUUUCUCCAUACCACUUAGAAGAUCAUUAACCAACUGAAGCAGCGCAGAUGCAGACUAGUUCUUAGGCAAAAGACUAUUUUGAUUUACAUGUUUGUUUAAUCUGUAAAGAACAGCUUUCUCAAUAAGUUUUGAUAGAAAUGAUAAAUUACUCACAGGACGAUAAUUGGAAACCUCUAGUUCAAGACCUGUUUUUUUUAGCAAAGGUCUAACAACAGUUACUGCUUGUUUGUAUUUCACAAGAAAAAUACCUUGAUGUAAUGAGAGAGUUACCAGUUUAGUGAUACUAGGGAGAAGUUUAUCUACAUGUGAUUUCAGAAUAUGUUUUGGAAAUUUUGAUGACAUAUACAGUUUUGCACAUGGAUCUUAAAACUGACUUUCAGACCAUGAAUGUGACCUACUGACCUGCUUUCUUUAAAAGGUAGUGUUGCACGUUUGAUAUACCGGAAGUGAUGGCGUAACGUCAUUUAUCCGAAAAACGUAGAAUAAAGCCUAGAUUCGGCGUACGGAAAUGAAAAUCAUUUUAUGAAUUAAUCGAAACCUGUGAGUACAUUUAUUGCAAUGGCACUGUUUCUAUAUUCCUAAUGUCAGAAUAUGAUAUUAAAACAUAUGACACGUUAAAAAAUUCAAAAUAAUGUCUUAAAAUUGGCGUGAAUUUUCCGGUUCGCUUUAAUUAUUUCAAAAAUAAGCACAUGGACCUAUACAUUUUAUUUAACCAAAUUAUAGGUCAUAUGUUUAUUUACAACUGUGAGAAGUUUCAUCAAAAUCUACAUUGUAGAAACAUUUCUAUGCGCGAAAAUGUUAUGAAAGUUAUGAUUUUCCCAUAGACUUCCAUUAUAAAAUAUUGCAUGAGGUCCAAAUUUUUCAAACCAGUCCAGCAAAAAAUCAAGCACACAACCCUAUCUUUUUUAUUUGCUGAAUUUUCUAGGUAUAUUCUGAAGUUUUGAAAAAUCAAGAGUUUAAUCAAAUUCUACAUUGUAGAAAAAAAAUUGAUCCAAACGUGCAGAAAUACCUUAAUAUUUCAUUGAAACAUGUUCACUCAACUUGGAAAAGAUUUCAAUGCUAACUUAUAUUUGACUUUCUUUCUUGAUCUCUUACACUUGUCCAUGUAGCUCCAAUUACUCAGGUGAGCGAUCCCGGGUCAUCACGACCCUCUUGUUUAUGAAGAUCUUGAGUAUUUUUAUCCCCCGACGAAAGUCGGAGGGAUAUAGUUUUGGCAUUGUCCGUCCUUCUGUCCGUCCGUCCGUCCGUCCGGAGCCAUAUCUAGGAAAUGGUUGGGAAUAUUUAUUUAAAACUUCAUAUACUUGUUCACCACUAUGAGUUCUUGCGGCCCGUCAAGUUUCAGUCAGAUUGCCCAAGUAACACCAGAGUUAUGGCCCUUAGAAGUUUCUAGUGUUAACUGUAUAGGGUACUAUAAAUAUUGCAAUUUCUGCAUCAUAACUUUUGAUAUAUUCGACCUUGAACUAUGAAACUUUAACAGAAUUUAGAGCACUAUAAUGUGGUUGUGCACACACAAUUUCGUAUGGAUUUCUUUUGUAACUGCAGAGUUAUUGCCCUUUAAUUGUCUAAAAAUCCACAUAUUUGUACAUAACAAACUUGCCAUUUGGCAGAAUAUCAUUAAAUUUCUUUCAUUCUUUUCUGUGAACAUUUAUUAUAAACAUGUGAAGUUGCGCACCCACACCUGGUCGCCCACUUGCCUUGGUCACCCGGGGUGACCCCGGGGUCAAAAUUGACCCCGCCCCAGGGGUCACUUGAUUUUACAUAGGAAAAUCUUUAAAAAUCUUCUUCUCAAAAACCAGAAGCCCUAGAGCUUAGAUAUUUGAAUUGUAGCAUUGCCUAGUGGACCUCUACUAAAUUCAAAUCAUGACCCCGGGGUCAAAAUUGACCCCGCCCCAUGGGUCACUUGAAUUUUCUAAAAAUAAACCAGAAGGCCUAGAGCUUAGAUAUUUCACAUGUAGCAUUGCCUAGUAGACCUCUACAAAAAAUUUUCAAAUCAUGACCCCAGGGUCAAAAUUGACCCUGCCCCAGGGGUCACUUGAUUUUACAUAGGAAAAUUUUCAAAAUUUUUCUUAAAAUAAACCAGAAGGCCUAGAGCUUAGAUAUUUCACAUGUAGCAUUGCCUAGUGGACCUCUACAAAAUUUGUUCAAAUCAUGACCCCCGGGGUCAAAAUUGACCCCGCUUCAGGGGUCACUUGAUUUUACAUAGGAAAAUCUUCAAAAAUGUUCUAAAAAUAAACCAGAAGGCCUAGAUCUUAGAUAUUUGACAUGUAGCAUUGCCUAAUAAACUUCUACAAAUUUUUUUCAAAUCAUGACCCCCAGGGUCAAAAUGACCCCGCCCCAUGGGGUUACUUCAUUGUACAUAGAAAAAUCUUCAAAAUUUUCUAAAAAUAAACCAGAACGUCUAGAGCUUAGAUAUUUCACAUGUAACAUUGCUUAUAGUGGACCUCUACAAAAUUUGUUCAAAUCAUGACCCCGCCCCAGGGGUCACUUGAUUUUACUUAGGAAAAUCAUUAAAAAUUUUCUUAAAAUAAACCAGAAGGCCUAGAGCUUAGAUAUUUCACACGUAGCAUUGCCUAGUGGACCUCUACAAAAUUUGUUCAAAUCAUGACCCCUGGGUCAAAAUUGACCCCGCUCCAGGGGUCACUUGAUUUUACAUAGGAAAAUCUUCAAAAAAUUUCUAAAAAUAAACUAGAAGGCCUAGAUCUUAGAUAUUUGACCUGUAGCAUUGCCUAGUAGACUUCUACAAAAUUUGUUCAAAUCAUGACCCCCGGGGUCAAAUUGACCCCGCCCCAUGGGGUUACUUGAUUGUACAUAGAAAAAUCUUCAAAAUUUUCUAAAAAUAAACCAGAAGGCCUAGAGCUUAGAUAUUUGACAUGUAGCAUUGCCUAGUGGACCUCUACAAAAUUGGUUCAAAUCUUGACCCCCCCCAGGGUCAAAUUGACCCAGCCCCAGGGAUUACUUGAUUGUACAUAGGGAAAUCUUCAUAAGUUUGCUAAAAAUAAACCAGAAGGCCUAGAUCUUAGAUAUUUGAUAUGUAACAUUUCCUAGUAGACUUCUACAAACUUUGUUCAAAUCAUGACCCCCCGGGUAAAAUUGGCCCCGCCCCAGGGGUUACUUGAUUGUACAUCGGAAAAUCUUCCAAAAAAUUUCUAAAAAUCAUCAGUUUGACAUUAGAAACAUGUAGCUCAUAUUACUCUGGUGAGCGAUCCAGGGUCAUCAUGACCCUCUUGUUUUUCAUUUUUAUUUUUCCAUCAAUAUUUAUAAUCAACAUGUGAAAUUUUGUUUCCUCUCCCGUUCCCCCGCACCCCCACACCCUUAAAAAAUAAAUAUAUAUACAUAUAUAUAUUUCCAUUCCUUUUUUUUUUUUUUUUUUUUAAAUGUUCAGACCUUCAAUAUGUUAAGUUGUGACUGCACAAGCCUUGCCCUCAGUCAUGUUCAAGAUAUCUUACCAGUGUUCUCAUAAGGACAUCUGUUUUUUUAAGUUCAAAUGUACAUGUUAAACAACAAUUUAACACCUGGUGCCAAACCACUCAAAGACAAUAUUUCGUUCCAGUUAAACUUCAAGCUCAUAUUUCAAUUAACUGCAUUUAAUUUUAAAAGCUAAGCUUAUUACAGUAAGCAUAUCCCAUUCAAAAUAAAUUCUUUAGUCAGGAUCAAAGUAUCAUACAUUUAUCAUGUACUCUUUAAUUAAACAUUUGUUUUCUGUUAAAUUGAUUUUGACUAAUGAAAUUAUUUGCUUCUUAUUAACAUCCUUAACUUUUUGCUGGAUAUAUUUUUUUGCCAUUCCUCACCACAAACCCUUUCGGCGGGGGAUACCAAUUCAUCGAAUUUGCUUGUUGUUCUUAUUGUAAAAUCCAGAUUUUCUUCACAGACAGACUGGUAAAGAUAAGAUUUUAAUAUAUAAACUGAAUAUUCCCUUAUAUACAUUAUGUAAGAGUUUCAUCCAUUUUUGUUUUGCUGAUAUAUGAAGAAAUUAGAGCAUUUUGAACACAACACCCCUUGUACUAGUAUAUAAGUGAUGUAGAUUUGCAUUAAAGUAAAUAUUUUUUGCAUCGUAAAUAUUGUCUUAUAUUCUUUUAGUUUGUACUUUAUAAACUAUUGUUUAUGUAUGUCAUAAGGUAUAAUUUUAGGAAAUAUCUCUUCUUUUUGUAGAGAUAUAUAUGUGGUGGGGCUUGUUGCUGUAUGCCAUGGCCAAACUAAGAAGUUCAGACUGUUUUUCACAUACUUGUGUUCCUCAUGUAUGGCUUGAAGGAUUGUUACAGGAAAAGGUGAAGCCACAGGAAAACAAAGAAAAAAAGCUACAUACAAAGAAUUCCAGACAUACAGGGUUGUAGAUCUUUGUAGGAUCUUGUUGUGAGAUGUAGGUAGCAGAUUGAAUGUAUAAUCCGAGACCAGGGAACAACUGGACUGAGUAAAAGUUGUUAUGUAUGAACCAGACACAAGGAGUAUAAAGACACAAUGAAAAUAUUUUGCGAUACAAGGUUGAUAAGGAACCUUCGACGUACCAGGAACCACUGCUGCUGGAAUUGGAAACAUUUGUUACUGGGUACAUAAUAGAUUACUUUUCCAUUGCAUUGAAAUACAGUAAAACCUGUCUUAACCAGCUAGCCAAGUGAGUAGGAAAAAGUGACUGCUUAAUGCAGCCAAGCAGCUGUCCAGCAAAGUUUAUUCUGAACACAGGCAGCUAUAAUAAACUGUUGGGAUGUCAUAGUCUCACAUGCUAAACCAAUAGCCUGAGAGGCAUUCUGUCCCUGCUUCCUGUGGCUGGCAAUGACUGACUGGUUGAAGCACAUGUAUCGGGUAGUUACAGCAGAAGGCUACACAGUACACAGAAGAUUCCUGUAAUAAGCUACUAUACCAUCAAUGUAGAGAGUGAUGUUUCUUACUUCUGCUCAUAUAAAAAUGAUACAUCUGGUGGUACACAUAGAAUUGUAUGACCCUAACUGGAUUGUCCAGUAAGACAAAAUGGCUCCUGAUGCUGAGGUCCAGCUUUCUCAGGAACAGAAAAAGAUGGAUUAUUAUGCAUACUCCAGUUACAGAUUUGCAGUAGCUGUCAGUAGCCAAGAAGAACCAAUGGCCAUUCUGAAUAAAAGACCCACAUGAUCAGACAAGUUUGCAAGAUGACAAAUCCAUGCAAAGUGUGCUGACAUUCUGCCAAAGAUUCAAGUCUGGAAAUAUCACCGACAGACUUUAGACUCUUUGAUUUAGAUUUAAGAUUAAAAGAUGAUUGUGACUUAAGACUACAUGUAUUAUUAUCAGUAGUUUUCAGUCAAAGGCUUUUUCUGUUGUUUUUUUUUUGUAUUCUUUUUUCAACAUUUCAAGGUCUGGAAAAUGACAAUAUUGGAUAUAUGUUUUUAUCAUAAAAUAAAAAAGUAGGUUUUCAUUGUUUACAGGUGUAUGGAAUGAAUAUUUAUAAAGUGACUGUGUCUUUAAGACAUUGGGUGUUGUCUGCUAGAAUGCAGUAAUUAGUAAUUUUGUUUUUGAAAAGUUUUCAGGAAAUUUUAAAAAUUCCUUAUUUGUAAAGAAACAGAUCUUUUGAUACGAAGAUAUGUGGGAACAAAUUAAAUAACUUUUACAAAGAAAUUCUUCAUUUAUGUCCCGAGUCACAUGUAUCUAAGAUAUUUGACUUCCAUUUACUUACAACUGUAUUGCAUGAUGUUUUAGCAGUCAAAUCAUAACUGCAAAAAUGUUGUAACUUGACUUACUACACUUUUAUACUUCUUACUUUUUUAUUGGUCUGUAAGUUAUUUCCACUGAUAUCUAUUAGAUCUACUACUACAGUUUUACAUUUGACAUAAAACUAGAAAUGAUUCUUUUCUAAUUAUGUUUUUGACAAUUUUGCCCAUCAGUCUAUAGUUAAACACAUAAUUUUGCUUGACUAAAGUCAAAAUUUGGAGAUAAUGGAAAGAUAGAAAUUUAUUUCUGAUGCCAUGUAAUAUAACAUUUAUUGAAUGGCAUGUGAACAUUAUUCAAAGUUAUUACAUGACUCUUUAUAUAAAUCACCAUGCUACAGUUUGUGCUAUGUCUAUAUUCAUGAGAUUUGUACUAGACUACUACCAGUUAAUAAAAGAAUUAACAAGAAAAGUAUGAAAACUGAUUACUUAUAAAAUACUAAAGCUAAUGGCUUGCAAGUCAAUAGUCAAAACUAUUAUAUUUUAUCAGUUUUUUUAUUCUGGGUUUGCUGAUAGCAGUAUUAUUAGUUUUGACUAUUGACCAGCAAGUCAUUCAGAAAGUCUAUGACCAUUGGUCCCUUUGGACCUCCAUUAAUAGUAUACAACUUUCUACCUU